RNAcentral lists this ribosomal RNA (474 nucleotides) under uncultured bacterium. RNAcentral's name for it is "bacterial SSU rRNA". It matches the Rfam family "Bacterial small subunit ribosomal RNA", at positions 53 to 518 of the family's 1533-position model. The record is from RNAcentral.
ACAUGCAAGUCGAGGGUAACGAGGGUAGCGAAUACCGCUGACGACCGGCGCACGGGUGAGUAACGCGUAUGCAACCUGCCUAUAACUGGGGAAUAGCUCCCUGAAAGGGGAAUUAACACCGCAUAACACUAUUGAUUCGCAUGGAUUAGUAGUUAAAUGUAGCGAUACAGGUUAUAGAUGGGCAUGCGUGACAUUAGCUAGUUGGUGAGGUAACGGCUCACCAAGGCUACGAUGUCUAGGGGUUCUGAGAGGAAGGUCCCCCACACUGGUACUGAGACACGGACCAGACUCCUACGGGAGGCAGCAGUGAGGAAUAUUGGUCAAUGGGCGCAAGCCUGAACCAGCCAUGUCGCGUGCAGGAAGACUGCCCCUAUGGGUUGUAAACUGCUUUUAUAGUAGAAGAAACACAUCUACGUGUAGAUGUCUGCCAGUAUACUAUGAAUAAGCAUCGGCUAACUCCGUGCCAGCAGCAGC